This 747-nucleotide long non-coding RNA is filed under the name Olea europaea (common olive). RNAcentral's name for it is "long non-coding RNA (OEUR_LNC012377)". Lineage: Eukaryota; Viridiplantae; Streptophyta; Magnoliopsida; Lamiales; Oleaceae. The record is from RNAcentral.
CGAUUUUUAAUGUAGGAAAAUAAUAAAAUAACUUAAAGAAGAGCUAGUUAAAAUAAAAUAUAGAAGUAGUAAAAUUGUGUUAAAUAUAAAGAUUUUGUUGGAGUACUUCAAAAUUUUAACUCUCGAAAUUUAUAGAUGCUCACCAAAUGAUAGAAUAUAAUUUUUAAAAAUAGAUAGUUUUUCAGAGAUACUUUAUUGAAUUACACUAUUUGUACAAUGUUAGUUGACAAACUUUGUUGGAGGUAGCGAGAUUCGGACCAAUGAUUUAAAAAAGGGUUUUUGACAAUUUAAAAAAUGGAUGGAUGUGAUGAUGCCAACAAAUACGACAAUUCAUGAUUGUACAAAUAUCAUAAUUGUGCUUUAAUAGCAAUCUACUUCUGCUUCAACCAGCAAAAGAAGCCCAAAAUAUGUUGUAUACCUUGAAAACAGAAGAACCCACUAAAUUGCAGAUAAGAUCAGUGAAAAUGCAAAAAGAUAGAACAUUAUUUAUAAACCAACAAGAACCACAAGGAGCCUGAAACCAAGUUUCACUAGUUCAGACUGACACAAAAUAUACCAGCAUCUCAACUACAAUGUGAAAAAAUACCAAUAACUAAGUCAAUAAAUGACUUUAGUGAUGCACCAAAUGAAAUUUCCAAGAGACAAAAACAUUUUAUUAAACCAACCUUUAGGAUUCAAAAUAUAAAAAUGACGAUUGUACUUUCCUAAACUUGUUACAAAAGAAAAACAAAAUAUUUGGAUAUCCAA